GACGAACGCUGGCGGCGUGCUUAACACAUGCAAGUCGAACGGAAAGGCCCUGCUUUUGUGGGGUGCUCGAGUGGCGAACGGGUGAGUAACACGUGAGUAACCUGCCCUUGACUUUGGGAUAACUUCAGGAAACUGGGGCUAAUACCGGAUAGGAGCUCCUGCUGCAUGGUGGGGGUUGGAAAGUUUCGGCGGUUGGGGAUGGACUCGCGGCUUAUCAGCUUGUUGGUGGGGUAGUGGCUUACCAAGGCUUUGACGGGUAGCCGGCCUGAGAGGGUGACCGGCAAAAUGGGGACUGAGAUACGGCCCGGACCCUUAGGGGAGGGAGCGGGGGGGAAUAUGGCAAAAGGGGGGGAGGCCUGCUGCAGCAACGCCGGGGGGGGGAUGAGGGCCUUGGGGUUGUAAACCGUUUUCCCCUUGGACGAAGCGUGGGUGACGGUAAUGGGAAAAGAAGCACCGGCUAACUACGU
RNAcentral lists this ribosomal RNA (467 nucleotides) under uncultured bacterium. RNAcentral's name for it is "partial 16S ribosomal RNA". It matches the Rfam family "Bacterial small subunit ribosomal RNA", at positions 28 to 506 of the family's 1533-position model. The record is from RNAcentral.